CGGUUUGAUUCUUGAUUGGAAAGUGGCGAACGGGUGAGUAACACGUAGGUGAUCUGCCUCGAAGUGGGGGAUAACCAUUGGAAACGAUGGCUAAUACCGCAUAGUUCUGUUGGUGUGGGAACAUUGACAGGUAAAGCUCUGGCGCUUCGAGAGGAGCCUGCGUCCGAUUAGCUAGUUGGGGGGGUAAAGGCCCACCAAGGCGACGAUCGGUAGCUGGUCUGAGAGGACGAUCAGCCACACGGGGACUGAGACACGGCCCCGACUCCUACGGGGGGCAGCAGUGAGGAAUAUUGCACAAUGGGGGCAACCCUGAUGCAGCAACGCCGCGUGGAGGAUGAAGGCCCUUGGGUCGUAAACUCCUUUUUUGGGGGAAGAGGAAGGACGGUACCCCAAGAAUAAGUCACGGCUAACUACGUGCCAGCAGCCGCGGUAAUACGUAGGUGGCGAGCGUUAUCCGGAAUUACUGGGCGUAAAGGGCAUGCAGGCGGCCUGUCAAGUCUGACGUGAAAGCUCCUGGCUUAACUGGGAGAGGUCGUUGGAAACUGAUGGGCUUGAGGCAAUGAGAGGGGUGCGGAAUUCCAGGUGUAGUGGUGGAAUGCGUAGAUAUCUGGAGGAACAUCAGUGGCGAAAGCGGCACCCUGGCAUUGACCUGACGCUCAUAUGCGAAAGCGUGGGGAGCGAACGGGAUUAGAUACCCCGGUAGUCCACGCUGUAAACGAU
RNAcentral lists this ribosomal RNA (720 nucleotides) under uncultured bacterium. RNAcentral's name for it is "bacterial SSU rRNA". It matches the Rfam family "Bacterial small subunit ribosomal RNA", at positions 72 to 810 of the family's 1533-position model. The record is from RNAcentral.